UGUCCGCUUGUGCUGCUGCCGUUCCCCCCGCCGCGCCCACCCUACCUCAGCGCCUCCACGCGCGGCGUCCCCUACACCCUGCCCGCCCGCUCGCGUGGCCGCCGCCCCACCGCGCCGGCGCAGCGCCACCGAGGGCUCGGAGUGCUCGCGGUCCACCGCGCCUCAGUCGCGCUCGGAGCGCAUCUUUCGGGCGUGGCACACUUCUUCCCGACGGCGAGAUCCGCGACGGGCGGCAGCAGUCAAGUGGCGAAGAUACAAAUGGAUUAGAGACCUGUGUAUGAGAGUUUGAAUUAGCUGCAAGACAGUCUUUCAAAUUUUGGACCUUAGGAGAUUUUCUUGAACUACCUGUUGGUUGUCAUUGCAGAGCAUCACUGAACCUGAUGUGUUGGAGUUCAGAAGUCCUGGACUAUGGCAGUCUGUAUUUUUUCAGAAGUGCUGGACCAAACGUCUGUUGCCUCUCUAUGACUGAUCGGCUGGUGACGUUAAUCUCGAUGUAGGGUGAGGUGGUGGUGAUGUGACGACACAGUUCUGGAAAUCGAUUACAAAUGCAAAGGAGUGGUGUAUCUCAACUCCAAAGUUCGUAUUUUUAAGCAACCACACAUUGUUUAGCAAAAGGAAUGGUGCCUCAGUUGAAGUCUAUUGUCUA
This is a long non-coding RNA of Setaria italica (foxtail millet), 646 nucleotides long. RefSeq lists it as uncharacterized. The transcript is spliced from 3 exons. The record is from RefSeq and is a predicted model, not a curated record. Lineage: Eukaryota; Viridiplantae; Streptophyta; Magnoliopsida; Poales; Poaceae.